This 4576-nucleotide long non-coding RNA is filed under the name Gadus morhua (Atlantic cod). Its description in RNAcentral is "lncRNA (ENSGMOG00000034136.1)". Lineage: Eukaryota; Metazoa; Chordata; Actinopteri; Gadiformes; Gadidae. The record is from RNAcentral.
GCACAGUGACCAAUCAGGGCAAAGAGAUGGAAUCCCUGUCCCUCGUCCUGCUUCUCCUCUCCCCAGCGUUCGCUAUGCCAAUGAGGCGGUUGGUGUCCUCCUCAGAGACGUCCUCUGAGUCUGAGUCCCAUGAGUCCUCCUCCUCCUCCUCCUCCUCCAUUGAGUCCUAUGACUCAGCUUCCUCCUCCUCAGAAGAAGAAGAGGAGCGUUCCACCCCUGGUACACUGGCCCCUCCCACUGUUGCCGUAACAACUAUCACAGCGGCGGACGUGGACACGACUGCAAUGGGACCAAUCACGGAGGGGAGCACGCCCACUGCGGCCACGCCCAUUAUGGUGACGGACGCGUUGACAGGCAGCGUUACCUUCACAGAGGAACGGAUCGGAUCGCAAAGGUGCGGAUUGGGUCGCGUUUCCACCGCCAAAAGUGGGCGUGACCCGGACUUAGCCGUACCCGUUUUGGCCUCGUUUUCAGGACUCCUCCGUUGGGGUACUGAAAACGAGACGAGACGCCUGAAAGGGUCCCGGGAAAUUCUAGCUACACACCCCCUCCGUUGAUUGGUCGACAGAAUCAUCACUUCCGGGCGACGUGGGGAUAAAAACAAACAAACAGUAGCCUCGAGGUAUUAUUCUUUACAAUUAACAUUUUCAAGAUGGCCACCAUUUCUGUCAAAUAGUCAUAUGGCUUUGUCUGCCUCCUCUCCUUUGACCUGUCCGGCCUAGUUAAACUUGCCAGGGAUAUAAAAUCCCCGCCGGCACAGCUCUCAGGUUCAUUGGAGUACACAAGCCUCUCCACCACGGCAAGGUGCAGUCCACAGAGAGGAAGGGCCACUGGGAAGUGGCCAGUAAAAAUUCAGGAUGGAAACCAUUUUUCAAGGUGACUGCCAUUCCUGUCCUAUGUUCAUUGCCACUGUUUCCAAAUAGUGAUACAGAAAAUAUGCCUCUAUUAAGGCCACUAUUAUUAUUAUUACUACUAUUAAAAUUGUAGGGCCAAUAAAAAAUUCAAGAUGGAGACUUUUCCAUUUUGGUAGUAUGUACACUGAUGCACACAUGCAUGUUAGCAAAAUAACGGCCACACUUUUAGAAAAGGGCAAUCGCAAAAAUUCUAGAUUCAUUUUUCACGGUGGGUGUUGCUUUAAUAGUGUACUCUGUUGGGACUGAGUUAAAAGGAAGGAUAAAAAAAAAGUUGUAUUCACAUUUUGACCAGCUCAAAGGCCUUCUGGUUAGACUGUCGAACCUGAGAUUGAGAGUUUGUGCCCUGUCGAGUCAUAAUAAAGACUGUUAAAAAUGGUAGCCAAUGCCUCCCCUACUUAUUUUUUUAUUCACAUUUGCAAUUGCACAGUUCUGUGCAAGUGAACCACAAUCUAAAACAUUUGCAUCUUCCACGGCACUCUGAUUUGCAGCCAGGCCCGGUUCCAGAACAGAAUGCCUUGGGGUGCAUCUGAGAUUACAGGGGGUGCACCAGUACUAUACUAAAACCAGCUACCCAGCUUCAGUUCAGACUUCGCUUUUUUACACACAGGCUUUUCCUACCAUAGACAAGCACUUCUGCGUAGUUCUACUGACAUGUUGGGACAACAAACAAUUACUGUGCUUAAAAGAUGGUAUCAUAUCAUGUCUUGGGAUGUGGAGAACAUUUCAGCCGAAACAUUAGCUUAUUGAUAUCUUAGAUAGCUUUGAAUAUGAGAUAGGUUUUUGAGGUGUAAAAAAGAACAGAAUUCUACACAAAAAAAAAAACAUGUGACUGCAAUUCAAAAAUAACGAUUAUUUUUUUUAUAAAUUGUGGCAGGAUAAAAAAGAACAGAAUUCUACACAAAAAAAAACAUGUGACUGCAAUUCAAAAAUAACGAUUAUUAAGUGGCAAUUGUACAUUGCCACUUACAAAUAAAACAGAUUUUAGCUGAACAAGGAAAGAACACUUUCAGACUUUGAACUUUGAACAAAAAGUAAUCAUACUCUUAAAGUUAACACGAUUGUAAAUAAAUGCAAUAAAAAGAAAUAUGGGUUCUUAUGAACAUAAUACAUUUAAUACAUGUAUUGGAUAUCCAACGGAUAUAUAACUGUUGCUGCCGAAGAAGUUCAACGUCACUACCGUGCGCACCAUAGAUAUACUAUAUGGGUGCGUGCAUUUUGCACACGAUGCCGGCCGGCGGCCAAUCACAGCAGCGCUGAUAUAGAGCGACAACAUUGCGACCUCGAGUGUGAUAUUGCUUUAUACAACAGUUAUACUAGUAAAAUGUACUGUUAAUAAUAAUAAUUGACAAUAGAUUUUGAUUUGUUUGUUUAUUUAAUCAUAUAAACGAAUGAAAUUGCUUCCGGCAACAAAAAUAGAUCCCCACUGAGCGGACUGUUGCCAAGCAACAUAUAAACAAAACACCACACAUAAAUGCGGAGUGAUUUUGUCAGUUUGGUGAACAGUCUGAGUGAUGUUGGAUGCUGAUAUCUCAACGGUAUUUAAUGGAAAUUGUCACAGGUUUCAUUACAAUUUGUUUUGUGAGCAAGUAUUUUAUUAUUUUUUAUCAUAUUUAUAAAAAAAAUAAUCUUUUUUAUUUUUUUUCAAUUGAGGGUGCAAACAUUUUUUUUGGGGGUGCAAUGCAUGCUUAUGCACCCCCGUAGAACCGGGCCUGCAAUGACACACCCACCAAACGACCCAGAAAUGGUUGCAGAACCAUCAGAAUUACUCUCAACCAGCAUAAUUAAUGUAAUUUUGGCUAAAAAAGUUGCAUAUUGGGCCUACCGAAUUAAAUUAAAUUCGGAAUUAAAUUCCGAAUUAACUUUCAUUAACUCCAUUAAAGGCCCACUAUGCAACUUCGGGAAUUUCUUCGCUGUUUUCUUGGUUUUGGCACGCACAUUUCUCUACACAGCGCCCCCUACAGCUUUGUAGUAGAUAUUUUACAACACUGUCGUAACAACUCGUUGACGACCCUUCCCCAUGCACUUCUACGCGAGCCAUGUGCAUUUGUUUUCAAAGAAGCCGGCGAAUGCGUGGAGCCAUGUCCGAAGUAGAUUAUCAUAAAGUGUAGGCAAGGUUAUACAUAAAAGGGUGUAUUUGUAUUGCAAUAAACAUAAAUCCAUCCUUUUUUAUAGUUGACGGGGAGAAUUUAUAUCCUAGAUUAUAAUUGUUUUAUCUUAGGUUGAACAGAACAAUCAGUGUAAGAGGUUUGGCCAACAUAAUAAUCUAAAUAAACAAGAACCUGGAUUCGGGGAUUCAGUCUGUAUCUGGGGGACGAGACAGACGAACAGCAAAACACCCAUGGAAACAAAGGUGUUUAUAUGGUUGCAACCAAGCAAGCUAGAAACAUACAGGGCUCACAACAAAACGGUCGGGAAAACAAUUUUUACAGGGCUCACAACAAAAUGGUUGAGCAAACACAUUUGUAAAGAGACUAUCAACAUCAAGAAUACCACGAAGACAAAGGCCACCCAAGGGUACUUUCAAUUUCAAAAGCAACACGGCCGAGUCGGCGUCUGAUUUGCAGUCUUCUUUUUCUUUCAGUUCACGCUAUUCCUGAAAAGCUUGCCCAACGUUUACUCGUGUCUGGCCUCUCUGCCGGUCAGUCUCCCUUUUCUCUUCUUCUGUUCCUCCGACAUUGGGCUUAUCUGUCUCUCGGCUGAUAUAUGAUGAAUAUAACAAUCCCUAGUGACUUGUGUUUAUAUCGAGCCGGUUCCGUGUUUGGGGGUCUGUGCCGUAAAGCAAUUCGUUACUUCGCGAGACCCGAGACUCCCCCGAGAGUGGGCGGCGGGUCGCCGGCAGAAACAUAUUCCUUUUCUCCGCCAAGAUGCCCAAGGGUGAGUCGAAACAACGAACAAUCGAACAAAAAUGUAUAAUAGAACCAUCGCAAUGACUCUUAGCCUGUUAUAUUAAGGUAAAUCAAGCCAAAAAAGUUGCAUAGUUCCCCUUUCACUCGUGUCUGAUCUCUUUUCUGGUCCAUUCUUCUUUUGUUCCGUCGACGGUCGCCUCUUGGGUCCCUUAUCAGUCGAUUGAUCCAUGAUGAAUGCAACAAUUGCCUCGCAACUGGCUGUUUAUAUCUAGCCGGUGCCAUGUUUGGGUGUGUGUCUGUGCCGUAAAGCAUUUGCGAAACUACAAUCUGACUACAUUUUCGAGGAUACUUCCGCUGCGUCACAUCCGGAUUGUGUCGGUCCGAACAGAGCAAGUUGCAUAUGCGCUUUUUCACUGGAGAGGCGACAUGGGUAAAUGACACACCCACCAAUCGACCAAGAAAUGGAUGCAGAACCAUCAGCAUAACUCUCAACCUGCAUACUUAAUGUAAUUUUAGCUAAAAAAGUUGCAUAGUGGGCCUUUAACUUCCGAAGUCUGAGAUUUGUCCUUUUACUUAACAUGAAUGGCGUUGAACACGGAUAUAUAACACACAUAUCAUUGAAAUAGCUGUAACAGGCACGGACGUAUUGAUUACCUGAAUGAUUAUGGGAGACCUACGUAAUUUUCAUAAUAUUGUUAAUUGUCUAAUAUUAACAUUUCAGUUGCGUUGGUAGGUAUUUCAUUUUCAUUUGCUUGUUUAGCUAUGUUUGACAGGGUUAUGGUUAGCUAUGUAUGACAGUUAACAAUGUUGGUGUAU